GGAGUUAGCCGGUGCUUCUUCUGUGAGUGAUGUCCUUCCUGCCGGCUAUUAACCCGCAGGCCUUCUUCCUCACUGAAAGUGCUUUACAACCCGAAGGCCUUCUUCACACACGCGGCAUGGCUGGAUCAGGGUUGCCCCCAUUGUCCAAUAUUCCCCACUGCUGCCUCCCGUAGGAGUCUGGGCCGUGUCUCAGUCCCAGUGUGGCUGAUCAUCCUCUCAGACCAGCUACGGAUCGUCGCCUUGGUGAGCCGUUACCUCACCAACCAGCUAAUCCGACAUAGGCUCAUCCGAUAGCGCGAGGCCCGAAGGUCCCCCGCUUUCCCCCGUAGGGCGUAUGCGGUAUUAGCCUGGGUUUUCCCCCAGGUUAUCCCCCGACUACCGGGCAGAUUCCUAUGCAUUACUCACCCGUCCGCCGCUCGCCACCAGGGAGCAAGCUCCCCGGUGCUGCCGCUCGACUUGCAUGUGUUAGGCCUGCCGCCAGCGUUCAAUCUGAGCCAUAAUCAAACUCUGA
This 511-nucleotide ribosomal RNA is filed under the name uncultured bacterium. Its description in RNAcentral is "partial 16S ribosomal RNA". The record is from RNAcentral.